UACGUAGGGGGCAAGCGUUGUCCGGAAUUAUUGGGCGUAAAGAGUACGUAGGCGGUCUGUUAAGCGCAAGGUGAAAGGCAUAGGCUCAACCAAUGUGAGCCUUGCGAACUGGCAGACUUGAGUGCAGGAGAGGAAAGCGGAAUUCCUAGUGUAGCGGUGAAAUGCGUAGAUAUUAGGAGGAACACCGAUGGCGAAGGCGGCUUUCUGGACUGAAACUGACGCUGAGGUACGAAAGCGUGGGGAGCAGACAGG
Molecule: ribosomal RNA, 252 nt
Filed under: uncultured bacterium
Lineage: Bacteria
Description: partial 16S ribosomal RNA
Rfam family: Bacterial small subunit ribosomal RNA
Source: RNAcentral